AAACUAGGGUGAGGUUGCUGAUAAUAUAAGUAAAGCGCCAGCUUGAAAGGAUUAUUGGCCGAAGUGCACUAAACUGCACUGGGGAUAGGUUGAAGAAGUCUAUCACUCUGAUGGGUUGUUGCCCAAACAACUUAUCAAGGAGCUCCUAGCUUG
Molecule: non-coding RNA, 153 nt
Filed under: Falseniella ignava
Lineage: Bacteria; Bacillati; Bacillota; Bacilli; Lactobacillales; Aerococcaceae
Also listed under: 1 other name
Description: Facklamia ignava Lysine sequence
Rfam family: Lysine riboswitch aptamer
About the family: Riboswitches are metabolite binding domains within certain messenger RNAs that serve as precision sensors for their corresponding targets. Allosteric rearrangement of mRNA structure is mediated by ligand binding, and this results in modulation of gene expression.
Source: RNAcentral